Long non-coding RNA from Esox lucius (northern pike), 2485 nucleotides. The record is from Ensembl. NCBI's taxonomy places the organism in Eukaryota, Metazoa, Chordata, Actinopteri, Esociformes, Esocidae.
CCAGAACUCAAUCUCAAUUUCAAGUAAAUCAUCAGAUAUAUCAGACCUUUAUUCUGGUAUCAAUCAAGGCAUUUUUGAAAGGUGUGCUGUUAUAGUUCAUUGCAUCUUCAAAUAGAAUAUAUAUGUCAGGCCACUGUUCUGUGAAGUACUGUUCCAUAUUGGCUCAGUCCUCUGCUGAUGUAAUGGAGUCACUGCCAAAUAUUGACAACAUGGUCAGAGGUGAACCCACUUAGUGAUCUGCAGCAAUAGAGGCAUUGAGCAGCAGCUCUUCCUCAAUCUUGGCUCUGCAUCCCCCCUCAGUCAGGAUAUUGGAUGUUCCACUACCUGAAAUAAGUUUUCAAAGCACUUGUGAGCAGUCCCUCGUUUAUUUGACAGUACUAGAGCCAGUGGCCUUGUUAGAACAUAUUUAGUACACAAUAAAAAGGCAAAGAAGAGUUUUAACUGCUCCCAGUCUUGUGCUUUACAAAGGUUGUGUUCACAGUCAUAGAGGGUAAAUAGUUAACCAAUUACACUUACUGGAAAUGUAAUUCCAAUGAAAAUGAAGUGAAACUGUACGGAGCAUGAGUCACAGCUUACGUUACACUUCCAUUUAAUCUUUGUCCAAAGUGUUUCUCAUUAAUCCACUGGUAUUUCAUCAACUAGGUUGGAAUGCAGCUGGAGGAGGAAGUGUCCCAAAAAAAUCUACAAAUUAGCUGAGGUAUAAUGCAGCUAAUGGUGGAGAAAGAAGCCCAGGGAAGCCUGAGGAGAGGAUUCUGAGGGCAGGAGCAUGAGGAGACGAGCAUGAGGAGGGGACCAUGAGAAGAGGAGCAUUAGGAGAGAUGCCCAUGUCUGCCCGGAGAUCAACUCCCUGAACCUGUAAAUCAACAACAGCACAGUGAUCCUGGAUCAGAUACGGACCAGGAUAUGUCCUGGUCCGUAUCUGAGGUUCAGAGAGUUGAUCUCCAGGCACCCUCAGUCUCUCCUCACCCUCAGUCUUCAUCACUCUGUCAAGGAACAUGCAAUUAUGUACUGAUCAGAGUUAACCAGCUGCAUAGGAUUAUAUUACUAUAGUCAGAUACAGAUCAAUGUCUUUCUAGUUACUGUCAGGGCAGUUAGGUUUCUAUAUCACUGAGGGAUUAAUGUGAGGUUGAAUUGGCAAAACUAACAAACUGCACUACACUUUAAAAUUAAGCAGUUUAAAACUGUUGGACCGUCCUGAAUGUCCUCAUUUUGUGUUCCUGAACACUAUGUUGUUAUUGUCCUCACCUGUGUUCCUGAACACUGAGUUGUUAUUCAAUCAAUCACAUUUAUUUAUAAAGCGCUUUUUACAACAGCAGUUGUCACAAAGUGCUUUACAGAGACACCCGGCCUUAAACCCCAAGGAGCAAACAACAGUAGUGUUGAAUUUCAGUGGCUAGGAAAAACUCCCUAAGAAGGCCACAUUUUUGGAAGAAACCUAGAAAGGACCCAUGCUCAGAGGGGUGACCAGUCCUCUUCUGGCUGUGCCGGGUGAGAUAUUAAGAGUCCCAUUGGAAUAAUUAAUACAUUUCUCUGGGCUAAAUCCAGAGUCUAUUUGAUUUUAGACUAGGUCAGAAGUAUAACCAGGUGGACAAGGACAGGGACAGCAACGGGCCCCCAAAACCAGGUAAUCCGCAGCUGUGGACCAGGACCUCAUCUCCUCCUAAAAUUUAAAACUGGAGGAGACUGAGAAAAGUUAGAAGUGCAUUCCUCAUAUCCCCCAGUACAUUAAUAAAGCAGCGUAAGACCUUGGAACUGAGAUGGGGGGGGGGGGGGGUCCGGUGACACUGUGGCCCUACCCGGGGGAGGCCCCAGAUAGGCAUUGUCUUGUGUGUCUGGAAAGGCAUUGUCUUGUGUGUCUGGAAAGGCAUUGUCUUGUGUGUCUGGACGGUAAUUGUUUGGAUUCUAUUCCUUUGUAACUGUUCUGUUUUCAUGUUCUGUUUUCAAGUUAUUUUAUAUUUCAGUUCUUUAAUUAAAGUCCUUUGUUCUCUGUACGCUUGUGUCAUGCCUCCAUCUGCAACAUGAUCACUUCUCAGUUGUUAGAGCUUCAUAGAAGCUGUUAGAUGCCUUGUGAGGUGUGAAGCUUGUUAGUUCUGUUAUUAGUAGAGACAAGUACAAUUGGAUGUGACAAUGUAAAGGUCAUUCAGGGGCUAAGGGGGUGUGAGGACCAGUCUACAACAUUUGAACUACAACCAGAUUAUGAAUCCCCAUCCAGCCCUUAUCCCUCAGGCACUUGCUCAGAAUGCCCUUCAUGGUCAGUUGUUGCUGACGAAACUCAGGGUCUGACAUCAACAGAGUGGCUAUGGGUUUAAUAAUCACAUAAGUCUUCAUUAGCUUUUUGUUGUGCAAAAAACUGAGGAAUAAGUAGGCCUAUACAAAAGAAGAAAGUAUGUAUGGAAGACAAUGAGAACGCUGUCCUCCCACCUUAUCCCAAGGAACUAAUGACACUAUAGGCCACCUAUUCAACUCAGAAAGCACAAAGACCAAC